This 478-nucleotide ribosomal RNA is filed under the name uncultured bacterium. RNAcentral's name for it is "partial 16S ribosomal RNA". It matches the Rfam family "Bacterial small subunit ribosomal RNA", at positions 28 to 523 of the family's 1533-position model. The record is from RNAcentral.
GACGAACGCUGGCGGCGUGCUUAACACAUGCAAGUCGAACGGUAAGGCCCUUCGGGGUACACGAGUGGCGAACGGGUGAGUAACACGUGGGUGAUCUGCCCUGCACUUCGGGAUAAGCCUGGGAAACUGGGUCUAAUACCGGAUAGGACCACUGCCUGCAUGGGUGGUGGUGGAAAUGUUUUGCGGUGUGGGAUGGGCCCGCGGCCUAUCAGCUUGUUGGUGGGGGGAUGGCCUGCCAAGGCGACGACGGGUAGCCGGCCUGAGAGGGUGACCGGCCACACUGGGACUGAGAUACGGCCCAGACUCCUACGGGAGGCAGCAGUGGGGAAUAUUGCACAAUGGGCGCAAGCCUGAUGCAGCGACGCCGCGUGAGGGAUGACGGCCUUCGGGUUGUAAACCUCUUUCAGCACCGACGAAGCGCAAGUGACGGUAGUAGCAGAAGAAGGACCGGCCAACUACGUGCCAGCAGCCGCGGUAA